RNAcentral lists this ribosomal RNA (437 nucleotides) under Bacillus sp. (in: firmicutes). RNAcentral's name for it is "bacterial SSU rRNA". It matches the Rfam family "Bacterial small subunit ribosomal RNA", at positions 39 to 459 of the family's 1533-position model. Lineage: Bacteria; Bacillati; Bacillota; Bacilli; Caryophanales; Bacillaceae. The record is from RNAcentral.
CUCCUCACGUGCGCGUGCUAUAAUGCAGUCGAGCGAACUGAUUAGAAGCUUGCUUCUAUGACGUUAGCGGCGGACGGGUGAGUAACACGUGGGCAACCUGCCUGUAAGACUGGGAUAACUUCGGGAAACCGAAGCUAAUACCGGAUAGGAUCUUCUCCUUCAUGGGAGAUGAUUGAAAGAUGGUUUCGGCUAUCACUUACAGAUGGGCCCGCGGUGCAUUAGCUAGUUGGUGAGGUAACGGCUCACCAAGGCAACGAUGCAUAGCCGACCUGAGAGGGUGAUCGGCCACACUGGGACUGAGACACGGCCCAGACUCCUACGGGAGGCAGCAGUAGGGAAUCUUCCGCAAUGGACGAAAGUCUGACGGAGCAACGCCGCGUGAGUGAUGAAGGCUUUCGGGUCGUAAAACUCUGUUGUUAGGGAAGAACAAGUACAAG